Callithrix jacchus (white-tufted-ear marmoset) is the source of this 142-nucleotide unclassified non-coding RNA. It matches the Rfam family "Metazoan signal recognition particle RNA". Rfam says of the family: The signal recognition particle (SRP) is a universally conserved ribonucleoprotein. It is involved in the co-translational targeting of proteins to membranes. Lineage: Eukaryota; Metazoa; Chordata; Mammalia; Primates; Cebidae. The record is from Ensembl.
GCUGGGCAUCGUGGCAGGUGCCUGUAAUCCCAGUUCCCUGGGAGGCUGAGGCAGGAGAAUCGCUUGAACCCAGGAGAUUGCAGUGAGCCAAGACAGCACCCCUGCACUCCAGCCUGAGUGACAGAGUGAUAUUCUGCCUCAA